AGUAACACAAGAUGAUGGACACCUGGCGUGUCAGAGAAGUCAUAAGUCUGAAGUGGUCUUCAAAUAAUAUUUCAACUUUAUUCCUCUGGAGUUGAUGUGGCUAAUGAGGUAUUAUGUAGGAGUAUGUAAACAAGAUGGGAACUCAUUUGUUUGUUCCGUUAUGACGUGGCUGGGGGAUAAUUAGGCGUGGCACAAAGAGCAACACGAGAUGAUGGAUGUCUGACGUGCCUGAGAGAAUUCACUAGAAGUGCAAUUUGAAGUAGUUCGGAUUUCAGCCUUAUUCCUCAGGAGUUGAUGUGGCCAAAAAAGUUCUGACAGCAUUGUUUGGGCACGUGUGGACAUGUACAAAGGAAAUGUCUGCUAAAACAAGACGAUUCAUCUCAACAUCUCCGGGGAAACCAGGACGGCAGUAAGAAAAUAGGGAAAGGAAAGACAGCUGCAUCCCAUAACCACAACUAAAAGGCUUGUAGCUCAACACGACCACAAACAUGGCUGCACAGCAGAUUUACUCUGCAAACUCACAGCGGCAUGCACAUCUGGUGAUGCAUUAAGGGUUGUCGCAGCCUACGAUUGUGCAACGCCAGAUAGCGUGCAGAACCUGACUCUGUCCUGCUGGAGUCCUGACAGCAUCAACGCAGUCCGCUAAGUGCAUCGUUGCAUGCAUUCUUAAAUUUCAACGUGCCUUCACUAAGAUCAGAGCACAGACUCACAAGUUUGAUAAGGAAAGGCUGUUUCACAUUAUCUCCACCUUCAAUCUCCGUCUGGCCGUCUAAAAGACCCGUAUGUUCUGCAGCCAAAUAAUGCUGUGCUCAGCGUGCAGUCCCCCCACUUAGUAUAAAUACAAACUCUAAACACACACUUUAUUUUUAUAGCAUCUCUGCUCACUUGCACCUGAAGACUGCCUCGCCAGAGGAAGGUAGGGGCUGACUUAAGAAAACCCCCACCACAUAUUUGUUAAAAGACCAUGGCAUACCUUUGUCUUUACUCUUCUCUUUGGCUAAAGAAUCCAGCUUCCUCCUUAGCGACUUCUUCCUCUUCUGUCCGUCUGUGCAGGAACAAAAGACAAAAACUCACCAUCUGGACAACAAGAUAUCUUUGUCCAGUGUUGCUGUUGUAUUCAGAUAUUUGUAAAAUGACUAAAGAAUGCAGACCUGAGCCGGAGGAUGCACAAAAAUCUCAAGCGUCUUGUUUUUUUACUACACAGAUUAAAAUAUCGCCGUUUUAAUUUCAACAUGUGUUUCAAGAAUAAGCCCCUUACCAUUCCGACAUU
This is a long non-coding RNA of Dunckerocampus dactyliophorus (ringed pipefish), 1270 nucleotides long. RefSeq lists it as uncharacterized. The transcript is spliced from 4 exons. The record is from RefSeq and is a predicted model, not a curated record. Lineage: Eukaryota; Metazoa; Chordata; Actinopteri; Syngnathiformes; Syngnathidae.